GAUGAACGCUGGCGGCGUGCUUAACACAUGCAAGUCGAACGGGAUCGGCUGGAGCUUGCUCCGGCCGUGAGAGUGGCGAACGGGUGAGUAAUGCGUGACCGACCUGCCCCAUACACCGGAAUAGCUCCUGGAAACGGGUGGUAAUGCCGGAUGCUCCAGUUGGAUGCAUGUCCUUCUGGGAAAGAUUCAUCGGUAUGGGAUGGGGUCGCGUCCUAUCAGCUUGAUGGCGGGGUAACGGCCCACCAUGGCUUCGACGGGUAGCCGGCCUGAGAGGGCGACCGGCCACAUUGGGACUGAGAUACGGCCCAGACUCCUACGGGAGGCAGCAGUGGGGAAUAUUGCACAAUGGGCGCAAGCCUGAUGCAGCGACGCCGCGUGCGGGAUGACGGCCUUCGGGUUGUAAACCGCUUUUGACUGGGAGCAAGCCCUU
RNAcentral lists this ribosomal RNA (430 nucleotides) under uncultured bacterium. RNAcentral describes it as "bacterial SSU rRNA". It matches the Rfam family "Bacterial small subunit ribosomal RNA", at positions 28 to 455 of the family's 1533-position model. The record is from RNAcentral.